GCAUAUCAAUAAGCGGAGGAAAAGAAACCAACAGGGAUUGCCCCAGUAGCGGCGAGUGAAGCGGCAAGAGCUCAGAUUUGAAAUCGUGUUUCGGCACGAGUUGUAGAGUGUAGGCGGGAGUCUCUGUGGAGCGCGGUGUCCAAGUCCCUUGGAACAGGGUGCCUGGGAGGGUGAGAGCCCCGUAGGGUGCUGCGCGAAGCUUUUGAGGCCCUGCUGACGAGUCGAGUUGUUUGGGAAUGCAGCUCAAGCGGGUGGUAAAUUCCAUCUAAGGCUAAAUAUUGGCGAGAGACCGAUAGCGAACAAGUACUGUGAAGGAAAGAUGAAAAGCACUUUGAAAAGAGAGUGAAACAGCACGUGAAAUUGUUGAAAGGGAAGGGUACUGGGCUCGACAUGGGGGGUGCGCACCGCUGUCUCUUGUAGGCGGCGCUCUGGGCGCCCUCUGGGCCAGCAUCGGUUCCUGCUGCGGGAGAAGGGGCUCCGGAAAGUGGCUCUUCGGAGUGUUAUAGCCGGGGCCAGAUGCCGCGUGUGGGGACCGAGGACUGCGGCUUCUGUCUCGGAUGCUGGCAUAACGGCGCAAUACCGCCCGUCUU
This 590-nucleotide ribosomal RNA is filed under the name Pichia manshurica. RNAcentral's name for it is "eukaryotic LSU rRNA". It matches the Rfam family "Eukaryotic large subunit ribosomal RNA", at positions 38 to 655 of the family's 3401-position model. Lineage: Eukaryota; Fungi; Ascomycota; Pichiomycetes; Pichiales; Pichiaceae. The record is from RNAcentral.